Molecule: ribosomal RNA, 253 nt
Filed under: uncultured bacterium
Lineage: Bacteria
Description: partial 16S ribosomal RNA
Rfam family: Bacterial small subunit ribosomal RNA
Source: RNAcentral
GACGUAGGAUGCAAGCGUUGUCCGGAUUCAUUGGGCGUAAAGAGUUCGUAGGCGGUUUGUUAAGUCUGAUGUUAAAGAUCGGGGCCCAACCCUGGGAGUGCAUUGGAUACUGGCAGACUGGAGUGCAGUAGAGGCAAGUGGAAUUCCGAGUGUAGAGGUGAAAUUCGUAGAUAUUCGGAAGAACACCAGUGGCGAAGGCGGCUCACUGGACCGGUAUUGACGCUGAGGUGCGAAAGCGUGGGGAGCAAACAGG